GUGUACAUGUCUAGCGGGCAGGUGUCAUCUGACCUUGACCUCAUUUUCAUGGUUCAGUGGUUAUAGUUAAGUUUUUAUACGACCGCAAAAAUUAAAAAUUUUUUGGUCGUAUAUUGGUAUGACGUUGGCGUCGUCGUCGGCGUCGUCCGAAGACACAUUGGUUUUCGCACUCUAACUUUAGUUUAAGUGAAUGGAUCUCCAUGAAAUUUUACCAUAAGGUUCAAUACCACGAAAGGAAGGUUGGGAUUGAUUUUGGGGGUUAUGGUACCAACAGUUAAGGAAUUAGGGGCCAAAAAGGGGCCAAAAAUAAGCAUUUUUGUAACUUCCAGACAAUAACUUGUGUGUAAGUGUAUGGAUCUCUCUGACAUUGUACCACAAGGUUCCAUAUCACAAAGGAAAGGCUGUAAUUGAUUUUGGGGGUAAUUGCCUCAAAAUUUUAGGAAUUAGGGGCCAAAAAAGGGGCAAAAAACAAGCAUUUUUCUAGUUUCAUGACAAUAACUUGUGUGUAAGUGUUUGGAUAUUUCUGAAAUUGUACUACAAGGUUCCAUAUCACAAAGGGAAAGCUGGAAUUGAGUUUGGGGGUAAUUGCCCGAAAUGUUCAGGAAUUGGGGGCCAAAAAGGGGCCAAAAAUAAGCAUUUUUCUAGUUUCCAGACAAUAACUUGUGUUCAAGUGUAUGGAUCUCUCUGAAAUUGUACUGCAAGGUACCAUACCACAAAGGGAAGGCUGGGAUUGAGUUUGGGGGUGAUGAAUCAUAAGGGGGUUCAAAAAAUUUGGGGGGGGAUUUUUUUUUCUUUCUUUUUUUUUCUUUUUUUCCUUUUUUUUUUCUUUUAAAAUUUUCCAUUUUAAGUUGGUUAUUUCUGAUUAAUAUUUAAAAGCAAAUAAUAAUGAUAUGGUAGGAGAUACACACCAAACAGGAUGUGUAAAUUAUUAUCUAAUAAGUAUUGUGCAAUAGCAAGAAAUUUUCAAUUGCACAGUAUUGCACAAUAGCUAGAAAUCUUCAAUUGCACAGUAUUGCGCAAUAGCAAGAAAUCUUCAAUUGCACAGUAUUGCGCAAUAGCAAGAAAUAUCCAAUAGCACAAUAUUGCGCAAUAGCAAGAAAUUGUCAAUUGUACAGUAUUGUGCAAUAGCAAGAAAUAUUCAAUUGCACAGUAUUGUGCAAAAGAAGAUACUUCGUAUAAAUUGCUUAUUUCUUGAUCAAUUUCAAUGGGGUUUUAUUCUUGAAUUCUUGGGGUUCUUUAAUAUGCUGAAUCUAACCGUGUAUUAAGUUUUUGGAUUUUGGGCCCCGUUUUUAAAUUGGUCCACAUUGAGGUCCAAAGGGUCCAAAAUUUAACUUUGUUUGAUUUCAUCAAAAAUUGAAUUAUUGGGGUUCUUUGAUAUGCUGAAUCUAACUGUGUAUUUAGAUUCUUAAUUUUUGGUUCCGUUUUCAAAUUGGUCUACAUUAAGGUCCAAAGGGUCCAAAAUUAAACUUAGUUUGAUUUUAACAAAAAUUGAAUUUUUAGGGUUCUUUGAUAUGCUGAAUCUAAACAUGUAUUUAGAUUUUUGAUUAUGGGCCCAGUUUUCAAGUUGGUCCAAAUCGGGGUCCAAAAUUAAACUUUGUUUGAUUUCAACAAAAAUUGAAUAUAUGGGGUUCUUUGAUAUGCUGAAUCUAACCAUAUAUUUAGAUUUUUGAUUUUUGGGCCCCGUUAUCAACUUUGUCCACAUUGAGGUCAAAAGGGUCCAAAAUUUAACUUUGUUUGAUUUCAUCAAAAAUUGAAUUAUUGGGGUUCUUUGAUAUGCCGAAUCUAACCGUGUAUUUAGAUUCUUAAUUUUUGGUUCCGUUUUCAAAUUGGUCUACAUUAAGGUCCAAAGGGUCCAAAAUUAAACUUAGUUUGAUUUUAACAAAAAUUGAAUUUUUAGGGUUCUUUGAUAUGCUGAAUCUAAACAUGUAUUUAGAUUUUUGAUUAUGGGCCCAGUUUUCAAGUUGGUCCAAAUCGGGGUCCAAAAUUAAACUUUGUUUGAUUUCAUCAAAAAUUGAAUUCUUGGGGUUCUUUGAUAUGCUGAAUCUAACCAUGUAUUUAGAUUUUGGAUAUUGGACCAUAAUAGGUGAAUGUCCAAUUUAAAAUUUUUAAGUUCUUAGGCCACAUUCAUUCUGUGUCAGAAACCUAUGCUGUGUCAAAUAUUUAAUCACAAUCCAAAUUCAGAGCUGUAUCAAGCUUGAAUGUUGUGUCCAUACUUGCCCCAACUGGUCAGGGUUCGACCUCUGCGGUCGUAUCAAGCUGCGCCCUGCGGAGCAUUUUAUUGUGUUUUGGUCUGUUUUUCUUAUACUGUAUGCCAUAGGUCUACUUUAUUUGGUGUAUGGAAUGAUUGUAAGGUGUACAUGUCUAGCGGGCAGGUGUCAUCUGACCUUGACCUCAUUUUCAUGGUUCAGUGGUUAUAGUUAAGUUUUUGUGUUUUGGUCUGUUUUUCUUAUACUGUAUGCCAUAGGUCUACUUUAUUUGGUGUAUGGAUGAUUGUAAGGUGUACAUGUCUAGCGGGCAGGUGUCAUCUGACCAUGACCUCAUUUUCAUGGUUCAGUGGUCAAAGUUAAGUUUUUUGAGUUUUGGUCUUUUUUUCUAAUACUGUAUGCAAUAGUUCAACUAUAUUUGGUGUAUGGAAAUAUUUUAUGAUCUUUUUGGCAGUCAAGCAGGUUUUAUUUGACCUUGACCUCAUUUUCAAGGUUCAUUGCUCAGUGUUAAGUUUUUGUGUUUUGGUCUGUUUUUCUUAAACUAUAAGCAAUAGGUCAACUAUAUUUGUUGUAUGGAAGAAUUGUUAGCUGUACAUGCCUGCCUAGCAUGGUUCAUCUGACCUUGACCUCAUUUUCAUGGUUCAUUGGUCAAUGUUUAGUUUACUUGGUUAAUGUUAAGUUUAUGUGACAGUUGUAAUAAAGCUUUAUAUUUAGGACUAUCAACAUAAUAUCAAUGAUUAGUAAAGAAGGCGAGACAUUUCAGCGUGU
Mytilus californianus (California mussel) is the source of this 2972-nucleotide long non-coding RNA. RefSeq lists it as uncharacterized. The transcript is spliced from 3 exons. Lineage: Eukaryota; Metazoa; Mollusca; Bivalvia; Mytilida; Mytilidae. The record is from RefSeq and is a predicted model, not a curated record.